GACGAACGCUGGCGGCGUGCCUAAUACAUGCAAGUUGAGCGCUGAAGGUUGGUACUUGUACCAACUGGAUGAGCAGCGAACGGGUGAGUAACGCGUGGGGAAUCUGCCUUUGAGCAGGGGACAACAUUUGGAAACGAAUGCUAAUACCGCAUAAAAACUUUAAACACAAGUUUUAAGUUUGAAAGAUGCAAUUGCAUCACUCAAAGAUGAUCCCGCGUUUUAUUAGCUAGUUGGUGAGGUAAAGGCUAACCAAGGCGAUGAUACAUAGCCGACCUGAGAGGGUGGUCGGCCAAAUUGGGAAUGAGAAACGGCCCAAACUCCUACGGGGGGCAGCAGUAGGGAAUCUUCGGCAAUGGACGAAAGUCUGACCGAGCAACGACGCGUGAGUGAAGAAGGUUUUCGGAUCGUAAAACUCUGUUGGUAGAGAAGAACGUUGGUGAGAGUGGAAAGCUCACCAAGUGACGGUAACUACACAGAAAGGGACGGCUAACUACGUG
This 497-nucleotide ribosomal RNA is filed under the name uncultured bacterium. Its description in RNAcentral is "partial 16S ribosomal RNA". It matches the Rfam family "Bacterial small subunit ribosomal RNA", at positions 28 to 507 of the family's 1533-position model. The record is from RNAcentral.